RNAcentral lists this ribosomal RNA (267 nucleotides) under uncultured prokaryote. RNAcentral describes it as "partial 16S ribosomal RNA". It matches the Rfam family "Bacterial small subunit ribosomal RNA", at positions 524 to 788 of the family's 1533-position model. The record is from RNAcentral.
UACGUAGGGUCCGAGCGUUGUCCGGAAUUACUGGGCGUAAAGAGCUCGUAGGUGGUUUGUCACGUCGUCUGUGAAAUUCCGGGGCUUAACCUCGGGCGUGCAGGCGAUACGGGCAAUACUUGAGUGCUGUAGGGGAGACUGGAAUUCCUGGUGUAGCGGUGAAAUGCGCAGAUAUCAGGAGGAACACCAAUGGCGAAGGCAGGUCUCUGGGCAGUUACUGACGCUGAGGAGCGAAAGCAUGGGUAGCGAACAGGAUUAGAUACCCCU